UCCCAAGUAGUACAGUGGUGAGUACGCCUUUAUCCAACGACGCAGGAAACCGGAGUUCGAAUCACCGCUUGGGAG
Molecule: non-coding RNA, 75 nt
Organism: Flagelloscypha sp. PMI_526
Lineage: Eukaryota; Fungi; Basidiomycota; Agaricomycetes; Agaricales; Niaceae
Source: the annotation of a GenBank genome assembly